Molecule: ribosomal RNA, 658 nt
Filed under: Escherichia coli
Lineage: Bacteria; Pseudomonadati; Pseudomonadota; Gammaproteobacteria; Enterobacterales; Enterobacteriaceae
Description: partial 23S ribosomal RNA
Rfam family: Bacterial large subunit ribosomal RNA
Source: RNAcentral
GAAUGCUGACAUAAGUAACGAUAAAGCGGGUGAAAAGCCCGCUCGCCGGAAGACCAAGGGUUCCUGUCCAACGUUAAUCGGGGCAGGGUGAGUCGACCCCUAAGGCGAGGCCGAAAGGCGUAGUCGAUGGGAAACAGGUUAAUAUUCCUGUACUUGGUGUUACUGCGAAGGGGGGACGGAGAAGGCUAUGUUGGCCGGGCGACGGUUGUCCCGGUUUAAGCGUGUAGGCUGGUUUUCCAGGCAAAUCCGGAAAAUCAAGGCUGAGGCGUGAUGACGAGGCACUACGGUGCUGAAGCAACAAAUGCCCUGCUUCCAGGAAAAGCCUCUAAGCAUCAGGUAACAUCAAAUCGUACCCCAAACCGACACAGGUGGUCAGGUAGAGAAUACCAAGGCGCUUGAGAGAACUCGGGUGAAGGAACUAGGCAAAAUGGUGCCGUAACUUCGGGAGAAGGCACGCUGAUAUGUAGGUGAAGCGACUUGCUCGUGGAGCUGAAAUCAGUCGAAGAUACCAGCUGGCUGCAACUGUUUAUUAAAAACACAGCACUGUGCAAACACGAAAGUGGACGUAUACGGUGUGACGCCUGCCCGGUGCCGGAAGGUUAAUUGAUGGGGUUAGCGGUAACGCGAAGCUCUUGAUCGAAGCCCCGGUAAACGGCGG